RNAcentral lists this long non-coding RNA (26902 nucleotides) under Ananas comosus (pineapple). RNAcentral's name for it is "long non-coding RNA (ACOM_LNC006011)". Lineage: Eukaryota; Viridiplantae; Streptophyta; Magnoliopsida; Poales; Bromeliaceae. The record is from RNAcentral.
AUUACUUUUAUCUUAAGGAUGCUGUUCUAUUUAUGAUCUAUUAAGUUUCUAACUUGUUAUCCGUAGCGAAAACAAAUACUAUUCCAGCUUCUGAUUGUUGAGUGCAGAAAACUCGAAGCAUCGUGAUGGAUUUUCUUAGUAAUCUGCAACAGAAUUAUGAGAUGGCUGAAGAGUGCUUGAAAACAAACUUCUAUGGCACUAGAGAUGUUACCCAAGCACUUAUCCCCCUUCUACUGUCAUCCAAUUCUGGAAGAAUAGUAAAUGUUUCAGCAAAAAUUGCGCAAUUUAAGGCGAAUAAGCCAUUCUCAAUUGAUUGAGUUCUUUCACUAUAUCUAUUUACUUAAAAGGUUAAUUUUAUACAAAAAUAUAAUCGAAUAGUAAAUUUAUCCCUACAAGAUUUAACUUUUUCAUAUUUAUCCUUGCAAAAGCUAAAUGACAUUCAUAUUUGCCCUCUGAUUUAUUAUCGUUAGAGCACUGUUUAUUUUUUAAAUAGAAAAUAAGUGAAAUAAUAUUUUUGACAUCACAAAUAUACCCCUCGAAAAGCCCAAACUGUUAAAAUUAUAUAAAAAUAUCCUCCAAAAAAUCUCUAAUGGUCAUCUUCUUUCUUUUACCAUCACAAAUAAUAUAAAAGGAAUAAAAAGGUCAAUUUACCUCAUUCACUAAUCAAGAUUAAGUAUUUUACCUAUGGUUAACUAUAUAUUUCUAACGGAUCUUAACAGUAGGAGUAUAUUUGAAAAUAUUAAAACUUUUGUAAGAAUAAAUAUAAAAUGUUGAAUUUUGUAGAAAUAUAUCUGCUAUUCGAUAUGCUUAUAGAGAGUUGCAUGCAAUUAACCCUUACUUAGAUAAAAGUUAAAAAAUAUAUAUUUAUUUGACAGUAGUUUAAUUUUGUGCCAAAAAGGUAUAUAAAAUGUGUUUUGCAAAAAUUAAUGUGUUUUCUCAAAAAACUAAAAUAGAAAUCACACGGGUUGUAGCAUUACACUUCAAACCACAAAGUGGUGGUGUUUUUUCAAUCUACAAUCAAUAAAAUAUAGAGUAAACUUCAAAUACCCCCAUUGUGGUUUCGCACUUUCUCACUUUAAUAUCUUGUGUUUUAAAGUGUAUCAAGUUAGCCCCUGUGGUUUCGCACUUUCUCACUUUAGUAUCAUGUGGUUUAAAGUGUAUAAAGUUAGUACCCUAUGGUUUCUUUUUUUUCUUUUUAUUAUCUAUUUUACUAAUUUUUUUCGUUAAUUAAAAAUUAGUGACAAAGUUAAAAUUAAAGGGUACUAAAGUGAAUAUUCGAUAAACUAGGUAGAGUAUCUGAAGUUUUUUAUAUUUAAUUUAAUGAAAUAUUAACGGAGGAAAAAAAAUCAGUGACAAAGUUAAAACUANAAAUAAUAUAAAAGGAAUAAAAAUGUCAAUUUACCUCAUUCACUAAUCAGGAUUAAGUAUUUUACCUAUGGUUAACUAUAUAUUUCUAACGGAUCCUAACAGUAGGAGUAUAUUUGAAAAUAUUAGAACUUUUGUAAGAAUAAAUAUAAAAAGUUGAAUUUUAUAGAAAUAUAUUUGCUAUUUGAUAUGCUUAUAGAGAGUUGUAUGCAAUUAACCCUUACUUAGAUAAAAGUUAAAAAAUAUAUAUUUAUUUGACAGUAGUUUAAUUUUGUGCCAAAAAGGUAUAUAAAACGUGUUUUGCAAAAAUUAAUGUGUUUUCUCAAAAAACUAAAAUAGAAAUCACACAAGUUGUAGCAUUACACUUCAAACCACAAAGUGGUGGUGUUUUUUCAAUCUACAAUCAAUAAAAUAUAGGGUAAACUUCAAACACCCCCAUUAUGGUUUCACACUUUCUCACUCUAAUACUAUGUGGUUUAAAGUGUAUCAAGUUAGCCCCUGUGGUUUCACACUUUCUCACUUUAGUAUUCUUUGGUUUAAAGUGUAUAAAGUUAGUACCCUAUGGUUUCAUUUUUUUUCUUUUUAUUAUCCAUUUUACUAAUUUUUUUCGUUAAUUAUAAAUUAGUGACAAAGUUAAAAUUAAAGGGUACUAAAGUGAAUAUUCGAUAAACCUAGGUAGGGUAUCUGAACUUUUUUAUAUUUAAUUUAAUGAAAUAUUAACGGAGGAAAAAAAAAUCAGUGACAAAGUUAAAACUAAAGAGUACUAAAGUAAAUAUUCGAUAAACCUAUGUAGGGUAUCUGAAGUUUUCUGUAUAUAAUUUAAUAAAAUAUUAACAGAUGAGCCGACGAAAAGAGAAAAAUGAAAUCACAGGGCACUAAAUUGAUGCACUUUAAACCACAGGGUAUUAAAGUGAGAAAGUGCGAAACCGCAGAAUACUAAAUUGAUACGCUUUAAACCACAGGGUACUAAAGUGAAAAAGUGCGAAACCACAGGGGUGGUAUUUGAAGUUUUUCCUAAAAUAUAUUCCAUUCAUAACCCUUUUAAUGACAAAUCUUAUAUAAACUAUAUUACUUUUUAUAUUUUUCCGAUCUGCAGUCUAUAAAAUAUAAUAUUUUGAUAUCUUUUUAACGACAGAUCGUAUAUAAAUUGUAAUUACUUUCUGAAUUUACCCAAAUAAACUGUAUGAUUCCAUUAACAUCUCAGAUCAACUGAAGCCAAAAGCUCAUGGAGGUGCUUCAGAAAAGGUGAUGGGCAAACAGAGGAGAAGCUGCUGGAGUUAUCCAGUUCCUUUUUAGAUGACUUCAGAGGAGGCAAAUUGCAAUGCAAUGGGUGGCCAACAACUACAUCAGCAUACACAGUGUCUAAAGCUUUAGUAAAUUCAUACACUAUGAUUUUGGCCCAAAAAUACCCUUCUUUGUGCAUAAAUUGUGUAAACCCCGGUUUUGUUAAAACUGAUAUGAAUUGGAACAUUGGAAUUAUGACCGUUGAAGAAGGUGCCAAGGGACCUGUCAUGUUAGCCCUAAUGGACGGUCCUGAUCGCUCCGGUCUCUUCUUUGAUCAGAUUGAAGAGUCCACCAUUUGAUUAAAUAAGGUGGCCAUUUUAAUUUUUUCUACAAUAUGUAAUAAUUAAUCAUCUACACUUUUUUCAUUUUUUUCCCUAUUUGAAUAAUAGGAGCUGCUAAGGCUAACUAUAAAACCCUUCGGAGGUGACUUGAAAGGUCAAAAGUAUGCACUUUACAUAUAUUGUGAUCAUAUAUAGAAAUAAAUUUUACUAACUGUUUACUAACGCAAAUGACAAGGGACUUGGUGAUUGGUAUCCGAAGUUACAAAUUCGAAGCCUAAUUGCUUCAUAUUUUCAGUUAAGUUUAUUUGUAAAAAAAAUAAACCAAACGAGUAGCAUACAAUCUUCCUCUAAAAAAAAAAAACCCCAAAAGAGAAAACUCGGUUAUAAACUCUUUUCCAAACAAGUUAAACUAUAAACAAAUUUGUGUUGGAUUUACAGAAAACAUGCUGAAAUUUAACUUCACAAAACGAUAUGACUAUAGACCUCCAAUCUUAAAUAAUAUUCAUCUACACUAUUUGACUAGUGAAUGUGCGCGUAAUUUCCCUUGCUUGUGAGGCUUCUUUCUACUACAACUCACAUAGGCUUCCUCUAUUUUUUUGAUCUCGAAUUCAAGUUCACCGAUUGAAGCGAAGACCGACAAAAUGGAACGGAAGAGAUCGAACUCUGGAACAGGGUCAAGUGGUACAUUUACUGGUCGAAGGUAAAAUGUGCACAAUCUUCAUCUGGAUUAUGGGGAAAACCCUGUAGCAUGCAAGCAAGUCAAUUCGACAAGGUAAAGUAAAAAAAAAAAAAAAAGAAAAAAAAAAGAAAAAGAAAAAGUAUCCCUCUUGUUCUUUUCCUCUCUUUCAAAAAAAAUAAAAAGAAAAAAAAAGAAUUUGUUGACACUUUCCUUCCACGUGGGAAAGCAUGUUUGGAAACAAAAUCAGAAUCAAAACUUGAACCAACUGCACGAUGAAAAGGCGGAAUACUUGCCAUUCCGUCACUUGAAUGAUUGAAUCGUCCCUAUUACUAUAGAUUGAAUUAACCACCUUAUAGUAGGUAAAGAGCUCAAGACAAACAAAGCCCAUGUGCCGAUAGCGCAUUAUGGACUUCAAAAGGAGGAAACCACUGGCUUUGCAACUAUCUCCACUGGCCGAGAAAUUGGUUAAACUGCUAGCAAUAAUAACUCGUUGGGCCAAACCACCAGUCCAAAAUACUUAAGCCCGGUUAUUAUUACUAGUGCUCUCUCUAUUUAGACCUGACGUUUUCGUCGAGUCCAAACCAGAAUUACCUGGAAUUACCAGACGAUGUGAGAUUAAAAAGUAACACUUUGCCCGACAUAGCACUUAACUCUCACACUUCCGAUUGGUAUUCGGCUCUGAUACCAAUUGUAACGAUCCUAUCCGAUCCGCUAGCAAUAAUAACUCGUUGGGUCCAAACAACGGAUCCAAAAUAUUAAAACUCAAUUAUUAUUACUAGGGUGUAAGCUUUAUAUAUUCUAAUCAGAAUCAGUUUUCCAUCCGAUGUUGAACUAUUAGGGCAUUAUAUUUUUUUUCCGAAAUUGCUUCUAUCUAGAAUAUUAUGCCUUCAUAGUAACCCCACUCUAGAUCGACAGUUGGAUGAAUGCAGACUCGCUGUCUAGCUCACAUAGAGGGCUUUCUUUAAACAAGAGGAAGGCUUUUAAGGGGGGCGUUGAAUGUUGAGACUGGGCCAAGUUCUCUUCUGUAUCAACCUUAGUCUGCAGAGAGAAUUGGGCCUUUCGUUUCUUAGACUUGGGUGCAACUUCGAAAGAUCAGAAAGCAGGCCUGAUUCAAGAAUAGGGCUGUCGGUUGAGCCCAUUUGGAUUGGAGCCAGCUCCCCAAUAUUUUCUUAUGUGUGACUCCUAAUAAAUAGUAUUUAUUUGGAAAAAGAUUAAAAUGUAAAAAAAGAAAAUUUUGCUUGCAAAUUUUAAUAUAUAAAUGAAUUUUAUUUGAUUAUAGUCAUGUAACUUGGCAAAAUAAUGUGAAGAAUUAUAGUAGAUUUAUUAAUUAAGUUUGUUUUUCUAUUACAGGUAGAUUAGUUUGAAAACUUCUAUUGUGUGAUAAAUUAGUAAAUUAAUAAAGAAUGAAAUCAAAUAAAAUUUUUUUGAAGUAUUCUAAUUGUUGAUGUAUUUUGAAAAUAGAGUGGUAUUUAAAGAAAAACUUGUCAUUUACUAUCAAUAAUAUUCUAAAUGAACUCCUUAUAUAUAAUUUAAGUUAAUUAACUUAAAUUUUUUUACAAAAUUUAUUGAUAAAAUUUUAAUUAUUAUUUAACGAACAAAAUUAAAAUAGUUAACGAUUUAUCUUUUAGUUAAGUUGUUGCUAUAUUUUAUAAAUCGAGCAAUGCUAUCUAUACACCUUGAAGUUGUGUAAAAUUUAUAUGCUACAUUUUAAGAGGCUGAGAUCAACUCGCUUAUCUUAAUAAUCUUUUUAAUGUGUCCUAUGUAUGGUGGAGCCAAUUUUUUUAAUGUGUCCUGUGUAUGGUGGAGCCUGAGACGGUCGACCACUUCUUUGUCAGAUGCAAGAUUACAAAAUCCCUCUUGGACAACCAACUAUUCAAUAAAAAAAUUUUACUCAGUUGCCUGUCAGUGAGUGGGCUGUGGGGGUAGGGAAGCUUACAACUAUUGUCUCAUUGUGGUGAAUUAUUUGGUUGGAGUGAAAUAAGAGAAUAUUCUAGGAAAAAAAAACCGCAACUCAAGCCAAUUGUUGGUGAUGUCCCGUUACUUUAGAAACCUGUGAAAAACUUAGUAUUUUACAUAAAUUGACUCUCUCUCUUUUUUUUCGAGGCCGGGCUGUCUUAGUACGAUGUUUAGUUCAACUUCUUUAUGAAUAAAGCGGUAGCAUACUAUUUUUUUUCAAAAAAAAUAAAUUAAUGUUAAAUGUUUUAAAAUAUUUAAAAUUUUAAAUCUAAAAGUAUAACAUAUUCACGAAGUGAAUAGGUAGCAUUUUUUUUUUUGUAAAUAUACAAAGAUGUACAUGUCGGUGUUGUGACCUUGACUAAUGUACAUAUCGGUACAUAAACUUUUGAACAAAUCUCUUUUAUAUACAGUCAAAAUUUUUAUAUAAUUAAUGCCUAGGUAAUAAUUUUUUGAAUCAUGUGAUGUGUUAAAAUCGGAACGGAAAAAAAAAGAUACAGAAAAUAAUUUAAUGUAGAAAAAAAAGGAUAAAAAAAGAGCACACCGAUAUUUACGUGGUUCGGCCAAUGACCUACGUCCACGGACGAAGACGGAGCAAAUAAUUUAUUAAUGUCGAAAGACGGAGUACAAGAAAAUUUCUCAAAGACCAAAAUUUAAUUAGAUCCGAAGCACCGAAAAUCCGCAUUCGUACAUGCGAUUCCAAAUAAGCUGCUCGGCUUACCAAAUGAAGGAUGUACGGCACCAUGCACCCUGAUUGAUGGUGUUGCAGCCACCGUACGAACCAUCACAAGCCACUUAAUUAAUUAGUGCAUCACAGCUCCUUCAACAGAAACAAGCAACCUCACAUUUUAUUAAUUAGCAUGGCAUCUUAAUAGGCCGGUCUCUUGCAGAACCAAGAACUCUCUAAUAUGCAAGGCUUAAUUUGAGUCGCGGCGGCUUCAUUAACAUGGCUGGCAUAUAUAUAGAGAAUGGCUUCAAAUUAGAGUCUAAUUGGAACUCUAAUCUAAUUAGAUUUCUAAAUACAAGUCUAAUCUAAUUCAAUUUGAAAUUAGAUUCCGAUUUAUAAUUCAUAUGUGCCAAAUUAAAUCUAAAUUAUAUAUAAUUUCAAUUAAAUUAGGAUUUAACUCUAAUUUAGAUAACUACAAAUUUAAACCAAAUAUAACAUGAUGUUUUAUAUAUUAGUAUUUUAUCAGAUAAGUGAUAUUAUUUCAAGACGUAUGUUUAUUUGAAGAUAAAUGUAAGCUAGGGGUGGCAAUCCAGCUCGUGUUCGGCUCGAAAUGAGCUCGAGAUCGAAUCGCUCGUUUAGUAAAUGAGCCGAACACGAGCUGAAUUUUUCGGCCCGUUUAAUAAACGAACUGAACACGAGCUAGUGUUAGCUCGCUCGUGUUCGGCUCGAUAACAGCUCAAAUACAUAUAUUUUAUAUUUAUAUAAUUUAUUUAAUGUAUAUUAUUAUAUAUAAAUAUAUAAUUAUAUAUAAUAUAUAUUUUUAUUAUUUAAUUUUUAGCAAAAGAAAAAUAUAAAUGCGAGCUUAAUUAUAAAAAGACUCAUUUGUAUGUAAAGUUUCAACUAUUAGAUUAAAGUCUAAUGAAUAAAAUUUUAUAAAUUUAAUUUUUUUAUAUAUAUUCAAUCUAAUUCUUUUUAACUUAUUGUUUGUUGGUCAGCUCGUGAGCCAGUUCGUAUUCGGCUCGUUUAUUAACGAGUGGAACACGAGCUGAAUUUUUGGCUCGAUCCUUUAACGAGCCAACUCGUGUUCGGCUCGUUUAUUAAACGAGCUGAAUAUGAGCCGGCCCUAGCUCGCUCGUGUUCGGCUCUUUUACACCCCUACUCCAUGCAGGAAUACUGGUUUCAGCUCUGCCUUUUCAUUAUUUUUGGGUCAUGCAUGUUUCAGCAUCAAUAACUUUUAAUACUCUUUUGCUUCACCAGAGAGACAAAAUAAAAUAAUGAGGCUCAAAAACAAGAACCUAAACCUUAUGCUAUCAAAAAUAUUAAAGUUAUUUUAUAAUUGUAUUUUGCUUUUUUUUUUAACAAUACAAUUGAGAAAUAGUUUUUAAAUAAAAUUAUAGCAGCUCUUUCUCUCUUGAUACAAUUUUAUUUGACGCUUUAAUAGUUCCACAUCAGAUAACAUGAAUAUGUGUGAGAAAUUUAUGUGUAGCUGUAUAGCAUAUUAUUAGCUAAUAACUGAAUUUAAAUAUUUUGUAUUAAUAUUUUAGACUCGACAAGUUAUCAGUGUUGGUGGACAGAGUCAUCACAUGCAGUCUCUCUCUCUCUCUCUCUCUCUCUCUCUGUGUUUGGUUGCUGUAUCCACAUCAGCAAAAACUGACAAUCAAUCUUAGUUGCCAAGGGGAUAGGAAAGGACAACAAGUGAUGAAGACUUACACAUGUACAAAGACCAAACCCUAGCUUAGUGGCUGCUUCCCUUUGGACCAGUUUCUAGGAAAAAGAGGAGGUAGUUGGAAUGUUGAUCUUGAACUCUGUAGGCACUUUUAAUGGGGCUCCUCAAUUCACAAACCAUGUGUUCCACAUGGAAAGAGAAUCAAUUGGGCCCUCAACUUUAGACCAAGUGAUCAAAAAGGGUCCCAGUAAGGAAAUACUUUAGAUUCUUUUUAGAUGAAUAUCUUAUAUAUGCUACUGAUAUAGUCACAAUUGAUAUUGCAUGAGUUAAUCAAUUAAAUUUCUUUACAUUAUAGUACCAGCACAUUAGCAUUAUUAAUAUAUAAAGAUAAUAUUUGAUAAUUUUGUAGCAGUACCUCGCAAUAUAGAGUUUCUAUGUGAUCUGAUAAUGUACUGAUUAAUUUAUAUAAUAUUUUAAAGGCCAAUUUGUAUAAAAAAAUCCACUAAUUUUAUGUUUUUGCAAAAGUGGGCCACCUUUUUAGUUUUUGCAGAUUCGGACCGAAUUUUUAGAAGGAUGACCAAACAACUCUUCUGUCAAAAUGCAUAAAAAUUAUAUGCUUUAAACGCCUAGAAAAAUACAACUGUUAAGUCACUAAGUGUAAAACUUCUUGAAAUGACAACUGCUAAGCCAUAAUUAUAUGUACCUUUCUCGUGAAACGAAAAACCUCAUUCAAGACAAAAUAAAAAAAUAAAGAAUAAUUAGUAAGAUGAAAGAGUGCAACAUCCUCUCAAAUAGUGCAACAAACUCAUCAAAAUAGUGCAAUAUCUGUAUAAGUAGUGCAACAUAUGCAUUGUUAAUACAUAUUUUGCAUGAUUUUUACACUAAAUUACGCACAGUUUAGUAUAUUACGCGAAAAUAAUAUAUUAUAUUACAACAUACUAUAAAAAUUAUACAAUAUAUGUAUAAACGGUGNNNNNNNNNCCAAAUCAAUUGAAUUUUUGUUUGAAAAUUCUUUAAACUAUUUAAAACAAGAUCUAUACCCUUGAUCUUUAUUACAAGACUCCUAUCAUUAUUUUUUAAAGAAUAUUCAUUUUCAGCCGUUCAUUUUUGUGUCACUUGAUGGAUAAGAAAAUAAUAUCGGAAAUGUAUGAAAUUUGAUUUCUAAACAUUUCAAGUGGUAUAGAUCACGUUCAACAGUGCGGAUCGUCGAUUUAUAGGCUCCAUUAUUGAAAAUAAAUGGAUGGCAAUGGAGCUCGUUUGCUANUUUUAAAUAUUUUUUAAUGUGUUUUUCAUAUUAUUAAGUCUAAUCAAAUAUGGUUAUAUAUUUUUUUCUUAUUUACAUUUUUAUUUAUUUAUUUAAUUUGUAAAUUUUUAUUAAAAUAUUUUUUUUUCGCUGUAUCGCGCGGGUCACUACACUAGUAUAUAUUUAUAUUUCAAAUCAUCAUUAAAAAAUAUGAAAAAUCUAAAAAAAUGAGAGCUUGCCAUGUCAUCUUUCUUAUUGGGGAUUCAUAUAUGUUACAGGUCAUUGAUGACGUUAUAUUAAUACAAUUCUUAUCAGUAAGAUUUAUUUUAGGGGCUUUUGUUCAAAAUUUCUAAAUUGACUCUGCUAUUUUCCAAAUAUUUUUCUAAACUUCAAAUUUUAUUAAUAAACUCUCAGGUUCGGAGUAUAUUUUAAAAAAAAAUUAUAAAUCAUGGCAUUUUAAUUUAUCAAAAAUAUAUUAAAUAUUUUUAAAGUUUUGAAAGAUAUAUUACAUAUUAUCCUUUUAUUUUUUAUAGAAAUAACAAUAUUUAAUCAAUGAUUCAUAUUGCACAAAAGUAUAUAAACAAUUUUAGAAACAACACAUUAAUUUUAAUAUAAAAUCAUCGAAUCAUCCUUACGGCCGCGUUUGGUUCUUCGAAAAAUAAUAGAGGACUAUUUUUGAAAACAAAAUUCAUAAAAAAUAAAAUUUUUAGCUUGCAGCUUUAUUUUUAUUUUCAAAAAAAGAAGACAUGGAAAACGAAAGAAAAGGACUUUCUUGUGAAAUUAUUUUUUUAAAAAAAUAUUCUUUCUAAAAAUAAAUAUAUAUAUAUAUUUUUAAUUAAAAACUAACUAUAGUAUCGAUAGUAUCAAACUCUUGGUAUUAUCGAAUUUUCUGUUGUUAGAUCUACCUUUUAAUUAUCCUUUUAUCCAACGGCCGAAAACUCGAUAGUAUCAAACACUUUGUACUAUCGAUAGUAUAGUAGUAUAAUUCUCUCUCUCUCUCUCUCUCUCUCUCUCUCUCUCUCUGCUCUCUCUCUCUCUCUCUCUCUCUAUAUAUUAUAUAUAUAUAUAAACAAUUAUUAUAUGAUUGAGAAAGACUAUUGUCCAUUAAAAGCAUAGAGUUCCUUAUACUCCCCUAACUUUCUAAACCAUUCAUCAUUUUGAUAAAUGGUUAGAUGAAGAGGAAGAUAAAUUGAGAAGAAUAGGAUAUCUUAAUUUUUUUUCUUUUUGAAUAUCUCCCUACUUUUCUUCUGUCUCUCAUCUAACCAUCCAUCAAUUGAUUAGAAAAAGUAGGAGUUAUAAGGGUUCGUGUACUCCUAAUAACACAAUAGCAGAAGAGAGAGAGAGAAUCCGACUAUGGCUGCUUAUAAAGCUUCAAGCAAUUCGGUGCUUGAAAUUUUUACCGUUGAGAUCAUAUCUGCUUUGCAUCAUUUAUCAUGCCGUUGUAAAUCAUACUCUAUUCAACCAACACUUUCACUCAACCCUAAGGAUCACAUCAUUCCUAACAGCACAUUCUUAAUACAAGUGGCCAAAAUCCUACAAGCACCAUAACUUGUACUUUUAAAAAUAUAGUAAGCUCAAUUAUAUAUAUAUAUAAUAUAUAUAUAAAAAACUAGGCUAGAAUACUAUCAUAGCACCAAGUAUUGUCUAUUAGUUUUUUAGCGCAUGGAUUGUGAAUGUGCGGGUUAGAAUGAUGGGCUUGCCCGCCUUGGGUUGGUGGGUGGUUGUGUGAAUAGUAUCAUCAAACGAGGUAAAAAAAUCAAGAAUUAAAUCUACGGUGGAAAAUUUCGGGAUAAGUAUUGCAGCCGGACACUCUCUUCUCUCUCUCUCUCUCUCUCUCUCUCUCUCUCUCUCGCUUCUUCUCUCUCCUACAUAUAUAUUAUAUAUAUAUAUAUAAGAGAGAGAGAGAGAGAGAAUUAGGCUGGAAUACUAUUAACAGCACUAAGUUGUUGGUGCUAUUAGUUUUUUAGCCUUUGGAUUAAGAAAUGUGCUGUUAGAAUGAUGUGGGCCCCCUACGGUUGAGUGGGCAGUUGGUUGAAUAGUAUAAUCUAACGGAUAAAAAUAAUCAAAGGAAUUAAUCUAACGGCAGAAAACUUGAUAGCACCAAAUAUUUGGUGCUAUCGAUAGCAUAGCAGCCGAACUCUAUAUAUAUAUAUAUAGUGUGUGUGUGCGCGAAAAGUCAUUGCAAAAGUUAUAAAAUUUAUUUUUAAUAAUAAAUGUUAAAGCAAUGCAAGUGUAUAUCGAUCAUAUAGAUGUAAAUUUUACGCUCUAGUUUUUGAAAAGUUAGGGUUAUUCAUUUAUCAUAUAAUAAAAUUUUUUAAAUAUUGAAACACUAAUUUAAAAGAAUUUUAUAAAUUCUUGGAUCUACCGGACGUAAGAUAUACAUUCCAGUAUAGAAUGAACACGUAGUAUUUUUCUAAAAACACAAUUUUUUAUAUACCCCUCACUAUUAUUCAAUUUUUUGAAAUUCACACUUUGUUUUCUAAAAUACCCUCUGAAAAUCCUAAUCUUCUCAAUAAAUCCCUAAGGGCAUGUUUUAGGGGCAAAUUUGAAAAUAAAAAAAGUAAUUUUAAAAAUCUGAAAUAAAUUAGAUACUUUUUAAGGUUUGGAAAUGUAUAUUAGGUAGGUAUUAUCCCUUUUCUAAAAGUCAUCGAGUAUGAUUGAAGCGUAAGACAUGACGCCAAAAACAAAGAAAUUUCCUUAAUUAAUUAAUUAAUUAGCCUAUGUUCCUGCUAUAUAUAUAUAUUGGUGGCAAACUAGAGUUCCCACAUUGAGUCCCAUUUGGAACCUGAAGCUAUCACAAUAGUACUCUCUCUUAAACCUUCUCUUGAUUACAACAUCUACAGAUAUGGCAUCAAAAACUAAGGAAGAUCAGAUCCCCAGUCCCAACAGGUAACAUUCACAAACUCUAAUGUUCUGUCUAAACACACGAAAUAUCUUAUUCGAUGUAUUCUUUUUCUUUAUUCAAUGUAUCCUUUUUCUUUAUUCAAAAAGCUUUCACUGUCGAGCUGGGUGAUAUCUCCAUCUUUUUAAUAUUCGAUUUGACGCUAUGAUCGUUUUUAACCUUUUUAUUACUCUUCUUUUAUCUUUAUUUUUAGUUUUUUUUUUUCUUUUGAUUUUUUCCUUCUCUUGAGGCCCUUGCUAGCUCACUCUGUGUAGUUAAAUUCAUUACUUGAAUAAAUGAAGCAAGUAGAGUGCUAUUUUUUUAUCAAACAAAAAAAAACGCUUUUAGUAUUCUUAGACAAGAAACUUGAUUAAAUAUUUAAUAAGACACAUUACAUUCAGCCUCCAAGAUACUUUUCUAAACUAAAGUAAUCAGCUUGCAGGUAAAAUACAGUAUCAUAUAACAAAUUAUGGCCACCAAAAUCUUGCAAGAGCUAAAAUGAAAAAUCUCAUAGGCCUCGUUUUUGAAUGAGUAAACAUUGUGUUUCGUUCACCGUAUCUCUUAUUUAUUUGAGAAGCUGAAAUAUUUGGUAAAUGAGGGAUCUAGAUAUUUAGUGUCCGGAAAGGCAUAUAAAAUUCAACUUUUGAGUCAUUGUUUUAAAAUAAAAUAAAUUAUCUCGUAAGCAAAAUAUAUUAUCCUAUUGAAUCAUGGAUGAAAAAAAUCAAACUCCUAAUCUAUUAUCACACAAGGCAAUUUUCAUAGCGCAUAAACUAUCAGUGAAUAGUUUGUUCUGGUAUCCGAACAAGGUGAUAACAUACAAAUUGUUACUGAACGACUUGUUUUGAUAUCCAAAUAUAUCCUAGGCAACUCUGUAGUCUUGUUACACAAAUUUGUUCUUUACAAAAGUUGUUUUAUUUAAUUUUAUUUUCUUUUCUCUUUUAGGAUUGCCGUGGUAACAGGAGGGAACAAAGGAAUUGGAUUGGAGAUAUGCAGGCAGUUGGCUUCUAAUGGAGUCAGAGUCAUACUAACUGCUAGAGAUGAGAAGAGGGGUUUGGAAGCAGUAGAAAAGCUCAAACAAUCCGGGCUUUCCGAUGUAAUCUUCCACCGAUUAGAUGUGACCGAUCAUUCCAGCAUUGAUUCAUUAUCGGAGUUCAUCAAAAGCACUUUCGGAAAGCUCGACAUUUUGGUACAUACAUGAUCAUUCUAAGUUGAAAUCAUUAUUACAUACCAGUGUCACUCUUUUAUGAAGUUGUUGUUUUUGUUUCUUAUAAAGGCCAUUCUUUUGUUACAAACCUAAUGAGCACGUUUGCAUGUUUUCUUAUAAUUUUUAUGAUUCUCUAAUUAUAUAUAUAUAUAUAUAUAUAUAUAUAUAUAUUGAUUUGUUUCAGGUGAACAAUGCUGCAAUAGCAGGAGCCACAACAGACUAUGAGGUGCUUAGGUCUAGUAUUGUUAAUAGCAAGGUAAAAUUUUAUCUUAAACUACUUAAGUUCAAGAGCCAUGCACAGUCGAUAGCGUAGAUUUCCAGUUGAAAGAUCUAACAAUGUGUCCAAAUGGUUAGAUUUAAUGCUUACUGUUCUCUUGUUAUAUCAGUGUAUUUCAAUUUUGUAUCUCUUUCGGACGUCGCGCAUUUUGUUGCAUCACUAAACGUAGCUGAAAUUCGUGGAUCGACGUCAGAGCCUGAAGAGUGAAUUUAUGAAACAUUAAUUGGCGCGAAUUACAUCAAUUAUGUUAGUGAUGGAGUUAGCGAGAACACGUGAUUUCUUGUUAUCUACUACUAAUUUCGUUCUUCUCGUGAACUAGACGGGAGGAAUACCCAACAUCACGACUCAAGAGACCUACAAAUGGGCAGAAGAAUGUAUGGACACGAACUAUUACGGAGUUAAGAGAGUAACAGAGACAUUAAUCCCUCGUCUUCUAUCAUCCGAGUCACCGAGGAUCGUCAAUGUUUCAUCUCAUUUUGGGAAGUUACAGGUAUGAAUCAACUCAAAAUAAUUUUCAGCAAUACUGACAUUUAGAAGUNUAUAUAUAUAUAUAUAUAUAUAUAUAUAUAUAUAUAUUGAUUUGUUUCAGGUGAACAAUGCUGCAAUAGCAGGAGCCACAACAGACUUUGAGAUGCUUAGGUCUUGUAUUGUUAAUAGCAAGGUAAAAUUUUAUCUUAAACUACUUAAGUUCAAGAAACAUGACAAAUAUAGAGGGUGAGUACAUGCGAGAUUUGAAUAUGCACCCUUUUCGCCAUGCACCGUCGAUAGCGUAGAUUUCGAGUUGAAAGAUCUAACAAUGUGUCCAAAUGGUUAGAUUUAAUGCUUACUGCUCUCUUGUUAUAUCAGUGUAUUUCAAUUUUGUAUCUCUUUCGGAAGUCGCGCAUUUUGUUGUAUUACUAAAUGUAGCUGAAAUUCGUGGAUCGACGUCAGAGCCUGAAGAGUGAAUUUAUGAUUUUCUGUUAAACAUUAAUUGGCGCGAAUUACAUCAAUUAUGUUAGUGGAGUUAGCGAGAACACGUGAUUUCUUGUUAUCUACUACUAAUUUCAUUCUUCUCGUGAACUAGACGAGAGAAAUACCCAACAUCCCGACUCAAGAGACCUACAAAUGGGCAGAAGAAUGUUUGGACACGAACUAUUACGGAGUUAAGAGAGUAACAGAGGCAUUAAUCCCUCGUCUUUUAUCAUCCGAGUCACCGAGGAUCGUCAAUGUUUCAUCUUAUUUUGGGAAGUUACAGGUACGAAUCAACUCAAAGUAAUUUUCAGCAAUACUGACAUUUAGAAGUACCAAUUUCAUUAAGUUCUUGUGGAUAUUAAGAUAAAUUUGAAUAUUUUCAAUUAUUAUUUUGUACUUUUAUCUGAAUGUUCUGCUCUAUUGUAACAACUGUUUAUAUUCUGAUGAUGUUUUUCACUACUAUUAUAACCUGGUUCUUCUUGUAAUUGUUUCAGUUCAUUCCCAAUGAGAGCGUCCGGAAAGAAAUGGAUGACGUAGAUCGCUUAACCGAGGAGAAAAACGAUGAGAUGGUUCGAUCCUUCCUAAAUGAUUUCAAGGUAGGAGACUUGACGAAAAAUAACUGGCCAACUACCUACUCGUCUUAUAUCAUGUCUAAGGCGGCAAUGGGUGCAUAUACGAGGAUUAUUGCGAAGAAAUAUCCCGCAAUCUGUGCAAACUGUGUACAUCCAGGCUAUGUGAAAACGGACAUCAAUGGAAAUACGGGUACUAUGCCCGUCGAAGAAGGCGCUAAGGGACCUGUAAUGGCGGCUUUGCUUCCGCAUGGUAGUCCUUCAGGGCUCUUUUAUGAUAAGACCGAAGUAUCGUCCUUUAUGUAAUGUUACAAUAUACUUCGUCGUGAUAAUAACUUGUUUUUCUCUUCGUGAACUAGUUGGUAGAGAUAAUAAUACUUGUACAAGUUGAAAUUUGUACGAACUUGACGUAUACCGUACCUGUGGUUUCCUUUGGUGUUUGCUAUCUAUAUUUGCUUUGUAGAAUUGAAAGAAUGAACAUUAUGAAGCAAGUAACAGUGAGGUGAAAAUUAGUCGCAGGAACGCAAUCCUGUGUUAUUUGUUGCCUCAAUUAAAGGUCCAUGAGCCAUCUUUUCUCUCAUAAACUCAAAUUCUUAAGCUUUAACAUGAUUAAGAAUGCGUCGCGAGCAACAUUGCCAACUUUAUUGUUGCACUAAUGUGUGAAUGAUAGUUAGUUAUUUAUUUCCCUUGAUAUAAAUCUCACUUUUGUUGAAGCAAAGAAUCAGCAAAAGGCUGGAGAAGCCAAUGAUUACAUAGGCAAAAGAAAAGGUAAGGUAAAAAAUUUGAAGGGAGAAAAAAAGUCUGAGCAUAACCAUAGGCCUUUUUAUGACUCUUCCUGGUCCGGUGAGGGGUCUUCCGGUGCAGGAUCUGCUUCAGCCCCCUCUGCGUCAGGCGCCGCGGCCUCGGUUGAGCUCUUCUUAGUGGAAGCAGUCUUGAUCAAGUGGUUGUAGCUCCCUUUCUCCUUGAACAGCUGAGCAAAAUGGUGCUUGCAGUAGAGAAUGCCAUCGAGAGCGGCGUAGGAAGAAGUCGUGAGCUGGCAGCCGCCGUGCGAGCACUUGAAGCAGGUCUUGUGGUAUGACUCACCCUCCACAGUCAGCUAAAAAAGAAGAAGAGCUAAGAUUAUUUCUUAUUAUUGGUAUAGGAUGAUAACAGACACUUUUUAUUUGUGUACCUUCUCCAAGGGGUAUACUGUUUUCUUGCAGGUUGCACACUUAUCUUGAGUGCCAGAGAACAUGGAAGAUAGCUUGCUCGGAGUCCUCGACUGCUUAAGAUCGCGAUAAUAUGAGAAUAGAUAGCAAUUAUAUAUUUCACCUACGGAAAUAAUAUAUCAAAGCUAGUUAAAAAGGUGUGGCAGAUAGAAGGUUGAAUGUACCAGUUCAUUUUGCUUGUCAGCAGACUUUCCACCUGAAUCAAAGAACCAAUUUGAAGGCAUAAGCUCUUGAGAUUUGAAAGAUUAAAAAAAAAAAAAUCAGAAAAUAGUUUGAAUUUAAUGAAAUUCACCUGCUGGAAAUUUCUUAGAGAAGGAACCUGUUUCCUUGAAAAGCUGCUCAAAGUGGGGCUUGCAGUAGAGGACACCAUCCAUUGAAGAGUAGCUACACAUCUGGAGAUAAAACAUGAAUAAAAGUAACUCACUAUUCUUUUUUCCUUUUUUUUUUUUGACAUGUUCGCAGUUAUUACUAGAAUCUAAGAUGUCGCAAUCGAAAGUAUACAAAACUGCAAAAAAAAAAAAAAAAAAAAAAAAAAACAUUGCGGAUACGCACGGAAAGAGUUCCUUUGCAGUGGCUGCACUUGAAGCAGGUCUUGUGGUACGGGAUCCCGUCGGCCGACAGGAGAUCAAUGAAAUGCACCGUCUUGUCGCACGCCUUGCAUUUGUCCUGCGUACCGCUGAACGACAUGAUGGCGACUCAACCAACAACAACACUCCUGAUCUUCUCAACACAACAAACAAGCCAACAGGAUCAAGGUCGGAGCCUCAAAAUCCGAAUCCCUGAUGUUGCUGCAGCUGUUUUGCAGUGCUCUAUCAGCAUAAGAGCUUGUGCAUAAAUAGAAGGAUUGAUUGCCUCUCUCUGUCCAAAAUGCGUUUAACAGCAGAUAUAAGGGAAGAGAGGGGAGGAAAAGGAAAUGCAAAGGUGAAGACUUUAAAGCAUGAGGCCCAAAAACUAUGAGGUGGUGAGGGAGAGGUGGGGGUUGGGGAGGAAAGAUAGGAGAUGCAUGAGCUCUCUUAACCGCAAAGACCAAGUCAAGCAGGUGGAAGGGUAAGGAGUGGUUUUUGCAAAUCCUACUUGUUUUAGGAAUUUGCUGCUGCAUGAACCCAGGUUACCAUGUUCGCCGCGGACCACACCAAUCAGAAGAUAAUCUAUACCUCGAAAUGAGGAGAACUUUUACCUGCGCCUGGUCUGCCAUGUGAGCCGCGCGCCUUACACUAGUUGUCACUUAACAUCUACUCUUUCAUUAUAUUCAGAUUGCACAUUGUUGAAACAAUCUUCAUUUGCGACACUUUAUACGAUUAAUACAGCUAAUACAAAGAGCGAAAAUCAUAGUUACAAAUAAUUGUCCUGCAAAUUCUGAAUCUUUGGCAUAGUUUUGUUGCUUUUUUACUUCCAAACUUCUAUUUGACAGUCAAAUCUGUAUCUGUGGUUGUGAUGACUCUCAGAAAAAUUACUUGCACAAUUUUUCAUCAUGUAGACUGAAGAUAGAGACAAAACACACAAAAACAUGCACUGGCGCACAAGCACAUACUCAUAGAGAGGAAAUCAUUCCUCUCUCCAGUAUCAUCGGCAUCAUCCUACCAAUUUCAUCUUGAAUAAUCUGUUUCUUUUAUCUGAUCAAACAACAAUCUGAUCUCAUUCAAGGGCUCACCGACGGCUGAUCUGGUCGGAGAGAGCUUUAGUUGUCGCAUACUGAAUAAUACUUGCACGGUGCACCAAAUGCGCAGAUCACUGUGUAAGCAUGCCUGUGCUAGAAUAUAGUGCUCAGAUCACUUCCUCUGCUUGAGAAUUGGAAAGGUUCAAAAGAAUAUCAUGCUUGCUAUGUUUAUGAUUCAACAGACACAAUCACAUCAACAGAAGGAGAAAAAGGGAAGGGCAAGCACAUGCGCAUGGAUAAGCCAUCCAUAUUAUUAAAAAAUUCAUAACACAUCAUAAUGUUAUGUCGAAUUACAUGGCCUACCUUCUAAUAUCUACAUAACCUUCUGUUUAUUCCGGGCAUAUGUUGAAAGCAUAGCCGGGCAUAGAAACCAUGCAUAAUCAAGGAGGCAAAACAACUUCUUGGCUUAAGAUAAGAUCAGACACGGUCUUCCCGUGCCGAUCUAUUCUUCUAGAACAAUUAACUCCUCCGUCCAGAAUAUUCUGGACCACAACAUUUAGAGAGUGGAUGCCCGGAGCUUCGUAGAUCUCCACCCUCACCUGCUUGAGGCGAUCUUCACUUUGCUGAAUUUUAUGUUCAGAAAACAGAGAAGCAUCGAGGAGAGCCGAAACAACAUUCUGCACCCAAUCUGGUGUGACCACCUUUUUAAGCCUCUCAAGAUCAGUAGGAAAGUGAGGAAUUAAAGAAAAGUUCAAGUCAUUUCCUUUGUCGCCAGUCCUACUAUGGGCUACUUGAUAGAGAGCAAUCCUCUUGUUUGCUGGGGCAGCAGCAGAUGCUACUGGCGGAAGCACUUUUCUGUAUAGAUGAUUGCCCCCUGGAGUAGAUGAUUUGCUAUCUUGUUCCAUGAUGAGGAUUUGAACUCUAGUCUCAUCCACGUCAUUGUGGUUUUGCUGAUCCAGAAUGUUUGUCCGUUUCAUAUUCGCUCGCCAGAAAACAUUUUCCCUAUCGACCUAGGCAUAAUAAAAGCAUUUGGAUAUGAUUAGUCUCUGUUGAUUAGCAUUAAGAAACAAAGAUCAUUUACCAAUAAUGAGAUUGAAAAGGCAUUGUACUUCAAUGAUCCUAGAAUAUUAAUCAGAAUUAUCAAACUAUUAUACUGCUAUCUCCAGGUAUUCUAUGUAUCGCAAGGAAAAAAGCAUCACUGCGGCAUAACAUGAAAACUCUACAAUCAUUCGAGACAAAAAGGCAAAACCUAUUAUGUUUUAAAUCCAUACUGAUGUUAGAAAAGCGCACAAUUUCAUUAUGUUCUGUCAAUCAAGAAAUCAUGCCUGAACCAGAAAAAAAUCAGAUGAAAAUUUUAUCACAUAAACAAGUUGUCUCUAGUGAAGAGGCAGUGACAAACGGUAGACAUUUUCCUCAUACUAAUAGUUUCUAAAUCACUUGCCAGGAGAACAAAUGAGAUACUUCUUUUUCAGUCAAAAUGAUUACCAUACCAGUUCUUUUUGAAGAAUCGUCUCUUUCUUGUGUUCGGUGCUGCAUUUAGGGGAAAAAGAACUCAGAAAUACUAUUAACCGGCAAUUAAAAGAAAUGAACAGAAUUCAGCCAGUAUGUUAGAGCAAUUCAAUCAUAAGUUCCAUGCAUUCCAUUUACACAAAAAUGGACGAGGGGCACUCAGUAAUCUCUACCUAAUACCGCCACCACCAGCUGGUCCAUUUGUGUAGAGAGCUAUGAACUCUUCGGUAAAGCGAAUAGCAUGCUCCUCGAGCUCAAACAAACCAUCCAUUCUAAGUCUAACAUCCAAAACUUCUUCUGUUGAUGAAGUGUCUUUAUCAAUCUUUCCAGUUUUCAGGCUGUCAUAUCCAACAACGUAAGAGAUCAUAUGAUCUUUAACUCCUGGUACUGCUUCUUCCAUCCAUGAUCUAACCUAAAAGGAACAUAGGCAUGUAUUACCUUACCUUAUAGGUGGAUUACUAAAAUGAUAACUUAUAAGCGCAAUAUUUAGCUUUGCCCAUACUCUGCGUCUCUGAAGGCUAUGCAUGAUAGGGAGAUGAUGCAAAGGAAGUCACAAAACAAAUGCUCAUCUUCAGAACAAUUAAACGGAAUAAGAUAAUGCUAAGAACAAUAGCUUAUUCAAGUUUAUGAUGAGCUCACGCACCAGAUAUUCUGCAGCUUGAGCACGCCUUACGCAUCCAGGUCCUCCAUAGGAGAUCUCUCCCCAACCUUUCCAUCCACAAUCCUGAAGGACAUUUUACAACUAUAUUGUCAUGAAGUUUCAAAAGCCAGGUACUGUGGCAUUACAUCAUAAUAAACUUCAGAGGUCAAUAUUUUCAAAUGAUAUCUUAGUGAAAGAAAAUGUGCAGUGUAAUGUAUCUGAUUCAUUAAGAUUUCAGAUAAAUAAAAUUCAGAGGAUUUGGACAUCUUUGAAAGUCAACAAUGAGCUGAUGAGGAUGUUAGAUCCAACAAAAAAAAAGAAAAGAAAAAAAGAUCCAUAUUGUCAAUGUUAGAAAUGACAACCUGGGUGAAUCUUUCAAGCAGAAAGAAUGGACAAAAUCCUAUUAACAAACAUAAUUUGUACUUACUUCCUCUCCAAAAUUAUACUUGCACUUUCAAUUUCCCAUACCGUCAGCUAGAGUUUAUCAAAGAAUCAACAGUACAAUUUCGCCAAGCAAUUAUGGCUAACAAAAUUUCCAGACGAUCUAAAUACCUUAGUUAAUGAUUGCUUUCUUUCAUGUCAUCCCACAAUUGGGUUCAAACACCUGAAUUUAGUGUACCAUUUUUAGAAGUAAACCAAGCAAUAUUUCUUGUAGUUAUCACAUAUUAAACUUUGUGAUAUCUCUCCACAUUCUAAUACGCUUAUUGUUGUUCUCUAGUAUAAAUAUUUUCCCAAUAAAACUUCUAAUAAAUAUGAAUCACAAGUUAACUGAAAAAGGUACCUCUAUCACAGAAAAGAAGUAUCAUCACAGCGAUAACAUAACAUCAAUUGUUAUUUACUAUUCAUUACAAUUAUAAAGCAUGGCGUACCAUUGGAACUAACUGCAGAAGUUUUUCAGGGAAAAGUACACUUGACGGCUUUGCCCCAAUGCACACAACUCUGUCAUUUGAUAUUGGGCGGAAGUUCACAUUACUCAAAUCUAUAGCCUGAUUAAGAACAUUUUAGUAGCAAUUCUAACUACAAGAUUCAACUAAAGAGAAAAAUUGGCAUUUGACCUCACCAAAUCAGGAGUAAUGUACCGUCCAGGAUCUCCAACUUCAUACAGAAGCUGCUCUGCACAAGUGCUGAAGUUUAAAACACCUCCACUCCCAUCUGCUUUUGCUACAUAUACUUCCCCCUUGAAGCUUACUUCAGCAAAUGGGAGAGAUAAAUCUAGAAGCUGUUCAAAAGGAAAAUCACGGUGCGUAUCUCCUGCUUAUUUUUGAAUACAUAGAUUGCACUAUUAGCAUUGCACCAUUAGCACACUGUAGAAAGAUAAAUAUACGUAGAGGAAGUAAAUAUUUGUCUUAGUUACACCAUUUGUACCUGGAUGCAUGAAGUAUCCUCCUGUAAGUUGACAACCACACUCUAAAAGAUGACCAGCUAAAGAGCCUUGGGCCAGUUGUUCAUAGUCAUUCCAGUUCCAACCUAAUUCGUAGACCUUGUUAUGACAAAUAACAUGAGUAUUUCACUGACUAGUAUGUGUUUAUUAGUAACUUAGGUUUACAUACUUUAGCCCAGGUAAUCAAAGGCCCAUUACAUCAAGUUGCCACCACUGGUGGACUAGACUUGUAAGCACCCCUAACAUUUUCUUAUGCAGCACAAUUCGGGCAUGACGCAAGAAGAAGAGAUAUGGAACUCCUGAGAUAAGAUGUCAUGUCCCUUUCAAAAGCACGACCAAGUAGCAAUACAAAACGCUACAUUUCUCACUGCCAUUAAUUAUCUAUGAUAUGUAGAGGCUUCUAGAUGAAUAGAAAACAGUGAAAUCAUCAUGCAAAAGUAUCCAGAAAAACUGAUCCCAGAAAAUAAAAUAAAAUAAAGUAGUGCCAUCAACUUCCAGAUUUAACACAGGAAAUGGCUUUAUUUCUAUCAAAAGUUUGCAAACAAUUCAUCUACAUAAUUUACAAUACAACAAACAAGGAAAAGAAAAAUUUAACAGCUGAAAAAUAUAAAAUAUGUACAAGCUUAAGAAUUGAUAUGAUUAACUUACCAUUGGAGCUAGGAAGAGUGCAGCAUCAGCAACUCGGGAGGUGAUGACUACAUGUGGUUUGUACUUCUCUAGGCAAUAAGCAAUAGGAGCUGCUCCCAGGUAGGUACUCUUGCCCUUCGCAUAAAAGAAGAUGAAACAUAAGGGCAAUGGUUGCCGAAAAAAUUGACACGGCAUAUUCUGCUUGAAAAUAUUCACUAAUGAUGUCUAGCAGCCUAGCAGUGUUAUCGCUGAUCGACUAAAGCAUAAACAAAUAUUGCCAUAACUUGAAAAAUAAAUCAUACAUUAAGGAGAUCAGGAUUUACCUCUCUUAAUUUUGUAGAUCCUUCAGAUGACUGAGGAUAUUCUGCAAAAAUAGAAAAUCCGGUUAAAGCAGUCACAGGAAAAAUCACUUGACUCCUCGAAUAAUAAAAUUCAGAUGCAAAGAGCUGUCCAACAAAAAAUUGGAAUGAGAGAGAGAGAGAGAGAGAAAGUAGCUUUGAGCUACUUUCUAUCGAUGUUUUCUGUUUGCUUAAAGGGACCAGCGUCCUGGCUUGCUACCGAAGGCCAAGUUGAGCCGAGUCACGUUCGAAAUAGCGGGAGGCCGGGUUGGGCUGAGUUAUGUUCAAAGUGACGUGAGGCUGGUGGGGCCGAGUCGCAAUCGAGAACCAUGGGUGCUGUGUCUGUACGCUUUAAGUGAAUUUGAUUGCAUAUUUUUAAUAGCUCGAGCUUUUGAGAGUAAUGACUAGCGCCAACGAUCCGACAUUUUCUUGUUUGAAAGUCUUACCAGAUUUUGCAAGAGGAACUUCAUGAGCUACCGAGACAGUUAUUUCGAGUCCUAGAUUGCACGCAACAUCUAGCACUUCUUUCUGCGCACCGAGCGGGUCCACUUUCAAUCAAGAGUGCAUACAGGGAAAAAGAAAUAUCGAUCAGAAAACAAUGGCUUCUGGAACAAAACAAUCAAAAUCGAGAAGAUUAUUACCUGCACCCAUAUUGGUAAUUAUACAGACUCCUCGCUCCACCGCCAAAGGUAGAAGCAGUGUCAUCCACUCACUUACUGCAAAGUUACAUAAUUCACAGCAUAAGUAUAGAUGGAACUAGCAUCAGAAAUGAUCCGAACAAUAACUAAUGAUAUAUUUCAAUGAACCCCGAUAAACCAAGCUUUAUAUUAAGUAUGUAUAUGUCUGCAAAUAAAUUUGCAACAUAAAAAGCGUCAAUUGAUCAAUGAAAAACUUUUAACAUGCAAAAAUAUUAAGAAUUUAAUUGAUCAAGUCAUAAAAUGAGUGAAACGGCGUACUUCGAGGGUCGAACCCUUUUCCGCCGGACAUCAUUACUUUGUACCGAUCGGCCAGCGUCCGCUCGGCCAGGCAUUCAAGAACAAGGUAGUCGAGUUCUUUGACUCUUUGAAGCAAUUUAAGCGCCGCCGAAGGCCGAUCCCCGCCGAAUCCUGCUCCGCAACCAACAUAAACCCUAUCCUUGUGCCUCUGAGGAUCAUUUCUCUACCAAAUUAAAAAGAUAACAAUAACAAUAAGUGAUUAAAUUAGGGUUUUUCUUGUUUCAAUCAGAAGCAGAACACAAUUAGCAACAUAGAGAGAGCAUCAUGCUUACCAGUUUGAUCUCGCAAUUGAAGAGCUCGUCUUUAUCCAUUCGAUCUUACAGCUCACAAUACACAAAAGAUUCGUAGUAAAGACCCACCAACAACAGAUAUUUAACAAAAAAAAAAAAUUUAAAAAACUAAUGUCUCAAAGAGUAGUUCAUUGUAGUUGAAUAAAUGAUGAUGAUGACGAUGAUAAUAAUAAUAAUAAUAAUAAGGGAAAACUUCAAAAACCUCCCUGUGGUUUCGCACUUUUUUAUUUUAAACCACAGGAUACUAAAAUAAAAAAGUGAGAAACCACAGGGAGGUUUUUGAAGUUUUCCCUAAUAAUAAUAAUAAUAAUAAGGGAAAACUUCAAAAACCUCCCUGUGGUUUCGCACUUUUUUAUUUUAGUAUCCUGUGGUUUGAAGUGUAUCAAAUUAGUACCCUGUGGUUUCUCACUUUAUCACUUUAGUACCUUGUGAUUUAAAAAACUAUAGGGUACUAACUUGAUACAAAAUUAAAACCACAGGAUACUAAAGUGAUAAAGUGCAAAACCACAGGGUACUAACUUGAUACACUUUAAACCACAGGGUACUUAAGUGAUAAAGUGAGAAACCACGGAGUACUAACUUGAUACAUUUUAAACCACAGGGUACUAAAGUGAAAAAGUGUGAAACCACAAGGGGGGUUUUUGAAGUUUUCCCUAAUAAUAAUAAUAAUAAUAAAGGGCAAUUACUUAUAUAUUUUCAAAAAGUUUCUGAAUUUUUUAUUUACUCUUUACAUUUUUACUUAUUUCAAAUAUAUUACUAGAGUUAAAUUAUGUUAAUGAAUUGUUAACAAUAGUUGUUAUCUAAAAAUAUCCUUUCACCGGCACUAAUUUUUCUUAUUUGUCCUUAAAUUAGGGAUACAAAAAGUAUUUUAAUUUUUUAGUUUUUUAAAUAUACCCUUCUAUCAUCACUAAUAUUUCUUAUUUGUCUUUAAGUUAAGGAUAAAAGAGGCAUUUUAAUUUUUUUAAAUUCUAGAUAUUUAACCCAUAUUUAACCUAAAUUAGUUUAACGGGUGGUAAUUAUAUAAAUACUUUAGAAUAACGGAGAAAUAUACGAGAAAUAUAUUGAAAAGAAGGGAAAAAAAAAAGAUAUUUCUAAAAUUUGGAGGGAUAUAUAUAGAUAAUUAUCCCUAAUAAUAAUAUUUAUAAUGGAAAUCAAAGUAGAGAUGGUUUUGAACAACUUUGGAAUAGGAUAAACUUGGCUUUUUAGUGGAGUUCAAUUCUCACACGCUGCAGCGGAAAACUGGCGUAUGCUAAUGGGUAGUGGGUCUGGACCUGGUCCGCCAUGUUAGUCGAGAAUACACUUUCGUGAAAGAAAAUUCUGCACAUUAGGUUGCUUGCAAUGCAUCCCAACAAAAUGGAUCCCCCGCUACCGCAGGUGUGGCAGUGAAUGGUCUUGUAUUUUGGACAGGCGUGUAACUUCAAUCUCAAUAGAGAUAAACAAUUUACAUAUAAAUUAUCGUAAAUUUAUAUCAUUUUAAACUUUUUGUAAACAAUUCUCUACAAUUCAGAUUUAAUAUAAUAUAAUAAUAUCCGAUUGAGGCGCCACUCUAAUAAGAAAUGUUAUAUUUAUUUAAAAAUUACUUUUGAGGAUAUUUGAUAAUUUUAAAAAAUUAAAGAUAUUUAAAAGACUACUGCGUGUCACAAAAUUUUAAGUCCUUAAAAUAUAAAGUGCAUUGGGACGUGUUUAAGAUCUUUGCGAUAAGUUUUAGGGCCGGUCCAUGGUGGACCAGGUCCAAGCAGAAUUAUUCGUUCCAAUGCCCCCGAGCCGUCUUUCCAGCAAAGGCUAAAAUCGUCAACUUGUGCAAGUUAAAAUAAAUACACAACCCUAAACUUUAAAACGUUUUGAAAUUCAGUCACUAAACUUUUCAUUCUUUCAUUUUUUGAUUUACCAUUUUUUAAUUUACUAUCCGUCUAAGGUUUAAUUUAGUUUAUUCUAUUAACAAUUUAAAAAAUUCAUGUAUCUUUUAUGAGUGUUUAUUUUGAUUUUAUUAGAAUUUUUACCAUUAUUAUAAACAAAAUAAGCCAAAUUAAGAGUGAUGAUACAUGUACACCAAAAAAAAAAACAUCAUACACUUUUUUAAUGCAAGAACCCGUAUGAAUUAUUAUAGAGUAAUGAGUUGGACAAAAUGUGAAAAUACACUCUCUUUGCGCAUGUUUGUUUCACCGAAAUUAAACUUUUAGUUGAAGUGAAUUUUGGAUUGAAAUAGUUUUCGGUGAAAACUACUUUCACAUUUGUUUCGUAGUUAUAAAAGUAAAUUUCAUUAGUUCUACUUUUUAUUUGGGAGGAUGAGUAUGAUAUAAAACUAUAACUUAUAUAUAAAUAAUAAAUAAUUUAAUAAAUAAAAUAAUAUAAUUAUAUUUUAUAUAAUUAAAAUUUAAUUUAAAACAACAAAAUUAUUUUAUAUAUAAACUAUAGUAAUACAACAAUAAAAUUAUAAAGUAAAAAAAUAUUAAUACUUAAUUAAUUAAUUUUUAUCAUAUUUUAAUUGUACAAACUAAAUAAAAAAAUAUUAAAAUUUAACUAAUCAAUUUUUAUCAUAUUUUAAAUAUGUCAAUUGAAUAAAAAAAUAAUUAAUAUCAUAAUUAAAAAUAUUUAAAUAUAACUAUCUUUAUCUAGUAUAUUAUUUUAUCACUUCUUCUUCAUCUUUUUGCAUCAUAAUUGACUUCGGCCCAUAAUAAGUCGAAAUCAAUUAUGCCGUUUUAGAUUAGCUCGAGUUUCGACCAUAACUGUUUUACGACGAACCAAACAAUGAAAGUGAUUGUUUAUGAUAAAAACGACUUUCCCACUAUCCACUUCCACCCCGCUUUCAUCCAAACAAACAUGCCCAAAUUUCGGAUGUAGGCGUAUUAUACAUUUUAAACCUUUUUUUAUGAUUAAUUUUAUACAGAUUCCUGCUGAAUUACAAAUAUAUCUUUAUAAAGUUUAACUUUCAUAUAUUGUUCCUACAAAAGUUUUAAUGUUUUCAAAUAUAUCUCUUUAGUUUGUUAAAAAUUAAAACGCCGUCUAUUUUAUAAGUAAAAUGAUAUUUUUGCCAUCAUAAAUAUGCCUCUUCAAACAUCUUAAUUGUUAAUUGAAAAGAGAUAAAAGGAUCAAUUCAUCUCAUUAACUAACUAGGGUUAAAUAUUUAACCUAUGGUUAACUAUAUUUUUCUAACGGAUUCAAACGGUAGGAAUAUAUUUGAAAACAUCAUAAGUUUUGUAGGAAUAAUAUAUAAAAUUUGAACUUUAUAGGUAUAUAUUUAUUAUUUACUAUAUUGCCAGGGACAUGUAUGCAAUUAACCUUUUGUUUAAAUUUAUU